Molecule: ribosomal RNA, 473 nt
Filed under: Streptococcus mitis
Lineage: Bacteria; Bacillati; Bacillota; Bacilli; Lactobacillales; Streptococcaceae
Description: bacterial SSU rRNA
Rfam family: Bacterial small subunit ribosomal RNA
Source: RNAcentral
GACGAACGCUGGCGGCGUGCCUAAUACAUGCAAGUAGAACGCUGAAGAAGGAGCUUGCUCUUCUGGAUGAGUUGCGAACGGGUGAGUAACGCGUAGGUAACCUGCCUGGUAGCGGGGGAUAACUAUUGGAAACGAUAGCUAAUACCGCAUAAGAGUAGAUGUUGCAUGACAUUUACUUAAAAGGUGCAAUUGCAUCACUACCAGAUGGACCUGCGUUGUAUUAGCUAGUUGGUGGGGUAACGGCUCACCAAGGCGACGAUACAUAGCCGACCUGAGAGGGUGAUCGGCCACACUGGGACUGAGACACGGCCCAGACUCCUACGGGAGGCAGCAGUAGGGAAUCUUCGGCAAUGGACGGAAGUCUGACCGAGCAACGCCGCGUGAGUGAAGAAGGUUUUCGGCAUCGUAAAGCUCUGUUGUAAGAGAAGAACGAGUGUGAGAGUGGAAAGUUCACACUGUGACGGUAUCUACCA